GCCAAUUCUUGUAAAUAACCCAUGAAAACACAUUCAUACUAAAUAACUCUGAAACCAGAGCUCUUUCUUUCUUUCUUUCUUUCUUUCUUUCUUUCUUUCUUUAUUUAUUUAUUUAUUUAUUUAUAUUCCCCUGGUUAAUUAAUGAAUAAAAGACAGAAACAAUGUUAUAGCUGCAAAAAUUAUGUUAGAUUGCUAUAAUUUUAAGACACAAAAAUGUGAAUUUUCGGACACAGCUCACUGAUAGAAACUUAAGGAAAGAUGAUGAUAUGGAAGGCUCUUUGGCAGAGGCCUUAUGGCAGUUGAGAUUAUUGUCUCUGAGUGAGAGCCUGCAUACUUAGGAGAAUGUGAACAACAUUUUCUUCAGUCUACACAGAAGAUUUUAUCAAAUCUGGACAUCGCGGAAACUUGACUUCAGGAAAGAAGGUCUGUAGAUUCAAGAUUUUACAGUCACAGUGCCACAGAUGUGCACCCAGUAUUACUUCCCUUCUGCCAGAUGUGCCUGCCUGGGAAGUAGAAGAGACAUUAACAUUCAACACACUGUCCUCUGAGGGACAAAAAGGACAUUUAAGGUUGGGAUGGAAAAGCCCUAUGAUCAGUACAUUCCCUAGUUCUGUCCUUAAUCUACUGGACACAAAUGAACUUGAGUUGACCUGUACAUGAACUCGUAAAUAAUCAUUACAAUAAUAAAAACGGAGAAAAGAGAAAAAGAGGGAUAGAAGAAGAGAAUCUUGUUUAAUACACAAAAAAUAUUGUUUGUACAGAAUUCCCCAUUAACUUUUUCCUUUUUUUUUUUUUUUGCCUGUAAGUUAACAAGCAUAUUACAUUUUUAUAUCCCUUUUGAAACUAGU
Long non-coding RNA from Gallus gallus (chicken), 848 nucleotides. Lineage: Eukaryota; Metazoa; Chordata; Aves; Galliformes; Phasianidae. The record is from Ensembl.